UAAACGAUGAGUGCUAAGUGUUGGAGGGUUCCCCUUCAGUGCUGCAGCAAACGCAUUAAGCACUCCGCUGGGGAGUACGACCGCAAGGUUGAAACUCAAAGGAAUUGACGGGGGCCCGCACAGCGGUGGAGCAUGUGGUUUAAUUCGAAGCAACGCGAAGAACCUUACCAGGUCUUGACAUCCCUUGACCACUCUAGAGAUAGAGCUUUCCCUUCGGGGACAAAGUGACAGGUGGUGCAUGGUUGUCGUCAGCUCGUGUCGUGAGAUGUUGGGUUAAGUCCCGCAACGAGCGCAACCCUUAUUGUUAGUUGCCAUCAUUUAGUUGGGCACUCUAGCGAGACUGCCGGUGACAAACCGGAGGAAGGUGGGGAUGACGUCAAAUCAUCAUGCCCCUUAUGACCUGGGCUACACACGUGCUACAAUGGGAAGUACAACGAGUCGCUAGGCCGCGAGGUCAUGCAAAUCUCUUAAAGCUUCUCUCAGUUCGGAUUGUAGGCUGCAACUCGCCUACAUGAAGCCGGAAUCGCUAGUAAUCGCGGAUCAGCACGCCGCGGUGAAUACGUUCCCGGGCCUUGUACACACCGCCCGUCACACCACGAAAGUUUGUAACACCCGAAGUCGGUGAGGUAACCUUUUGGAGCCAGCCGCCUAAGGUGGGAUAGAUGAUUGGGGUGAAGUCGUAACAAGGUAACCA
RNAcentral lists this ribosomal RNA (694 nucleotides) under uncultured Enterococcus sp. RNAcentral describes it as "bacterial SSU rRNA". It matches the Rfam family "Bacterial small subunit ribosomal RNA", at positions 803 to 1502 of the family's 1533-position model. Lineage: Bacteria; Bacillati; Bacillota; Bacilli; Lactobacillales; Enterococcaceae. The record is from RNAcentral.